UUCACGCCGGAUCUAACGGUAUGUCUCCUGUCCUGGGCUUAAGAAACACCCUGUAUAACUCGACAAGGUACACUGAUCAAGUGUAGUUUAAAUUUAAACCUUAGUGCAGUUUUCGAUAAUAGAUAUCUAGUCCGCAAAUACUGUGGUUCGUAAUCUCGAGUGAUAUGUCAUGAAUAAACGUAUACCGCUAUAUGUUCCUAUUACUAUAUACAGGGUGUUCCGAAUUUACCUGACCAACCUGAGUUUUCUUCCCUCGUUUUUGUUUCUCGGUGACUAUGGGCAGACUGAAGCCAGGCGAAGCCAUGGCUAUUAGAUGUUACGCACUAAUUGACAACUACAACAUCCUAUGACAAUAUAGGAAAUAUUAAGAUUUGUCGCAGUAAGUAGAUUCGAAAUCUGUUAUCUACAAAUACUAUGAGAUAGGUUUCAACGUCCUUCCUUCCUUCCUUCCCUUUCCUUAUGGCAGCCUAGAUUUCCCAUUCGAUGGGAAAUCGUUUGAUGCCCAUAAAUAUGCCAAUUAAAAUGUGUGAUAAAACGCAGCUUGGUGAAAAAAAUGGAAAAAUCGUAUUUGACGUAUUGCGGAUAAUUCCGAUGAUAUCGAAUGCUGAAUGCGCCAUACUCUUUAUAGUACUGUAUUCUGAUUGGAUAGUCGGAACACAAGAUAUUUUUCUACUCAUCUCUUUCUCAUCAUGGACAGUAUCUUAUUAUUCAAUGCCCCACUCUUUUGAGAAUAUGAGAUAGAACAUUUUUCAUAAAAUGGCGGCAAAUAGCAAACAAAUUAUGUGCAUUUAAUUUACAUCUAAUUAAAAAUGAAUAAUUGCAAUAUAUAUUUACAAACAAAAAUGGUAAUACUUGAAAGACAACUAAGGGACAGUUCCACAAUCACGAUUUAUUUUUUAAACUCGGUUUAUCUUCGAAAUAGAAGUAUCUAAUUUCAUAAGCGAGAAGUUAAACCGUAUUUAAAAAAUAAACCGUGAUUGUGGAACCAGCAGUUAAUAGUAAACAAUUUCGAGGAAGACUUUCAGCAGUCACACGUCCCUGGAUUAGAUACCAUCUACCAAUAGAAUUUUUAGAAAGAGAUAAAGAAUAGAAUACUUCCACUGUGAAAUAUACGUUUGCAUGUUGAAAGGUGUGUAUACUACAAUAAAAAUAUGCUGUGCCGGUGUGUGCCAAGUGUUUUCUAUCUACCUUUGUUUGAUUAUCUGUCUGUCUCUACUGCGAACUACGCAUCGCAUGAGCCUUAACAACUUCCAAAAGAUGAUCCAGACUAAUAUAAAAAAUUUGGAAAAUACUCACGCCACCGUACUGUUCCUUCUUGAACUGAAAUUGUUCAUGAAGGUCACCGAAGUUAACAGCAUCCGUAGGCGAUCCGAUAUUAUCCUUAGCAUCAGCACC
This is a long non-coding RNA of Cephus cinctus (wheat stem sawfly), 1395 nucleotides long. RefSeq lists it as uncharacterized. Lineage: Eukaryota; Metazoa; Arthropoda; Insecta; Hymenoptera; Cephidae. The record is from RefSeq and is a predicted model, not a curated record. The transcript is spliced from 2 exons.